AACGAACGCUGGCGGCAUGCCUAACACAUGCAAGUCGAACGAACCCUUCGGGGUUAGUGGCGCACGGGUGCGUAACGCGUGGGAAUCUGCCCUUGGCUUCGGAAUAACAGUUAGAAAUGACUGCUAAUACCGGAUGAUGUCUUCGGACCAAAGAUUUAUCGGCCAGGGAUGAGCCCGCGUAGGAUUAGGUAGUUGGUGGGGGAAAGGCCUACCAAGCCGACGAUCCUUAGCUGGUCUGAGAGGAUGAUCAGCCACACUGGGACUGAGACACGGCCCAGACUCCUACGGGAGGCAGCAGUGGGGAAUAUUGGACAAUGGGCGCAAGCCUGAUCCAGCAAUGCCGCGUGAGUGAUGAAGGCCUUAGGGUCGUAAAGCUCUUCUACCCGGGAUGAUAAUGACAGUACCGGGAGAAUAAGCUCCGGCUAACUCCGUGCCAGCCGCCGCAGUAA
RNAcentral lists this ribosomal RNA (449 nucleotides) under uncultured bacterium. Its description in RNAcentral is "partial 16S ribosomal RNA". It matches the Rfam family "Bacterial small subunit ribosomal RNA", at positions 29 to 523 of the family's 1533-position model. The record is from RNAcentral.